Molecule: transfer RNA, 73 nt
Filed under: Zootermopsis nevadensis
Lineage: Eukaryota; Metazoa; Arthropoda; Insecta; Blattodea; Termopsidae
Rfam family: tRNA
About the family: Transfer RNA (tRNA) molecules are approximately 80 nucleotides in length. Their secondary structure includes four short double-helical elements and three loops (D, anti-codon, and T loops).
Source: Rfam by way of RNAcentral
GAAACCGUGGUCUAGCGGUUAGAACGAUGGCUUUGUAAUCCUGGGGUCUCGGGUUCGAUUCCCGGCGGUGCCC